GCCUCUGUAGCAUAGUUAGUGGUGCGCGGCCUUGGUAAGGCCGAGGUCCGGGGUGCAACUCCCCGCAGAGGCU
Molecule: transfer RNA, 73 nt
Filed under: Candidatus Woesearchaeota archaeon
Lineage: Archaea; Nanobdellati; Candidatus Woesearchaeota
Description: tRNA-Thr
Source: RNAcentral